UAUCCAUGUUGUGGACAUCUCCUCAAAAAAUCCUUGUACCUUUCCCAACAUUCAAAUAACUAUUCAUCCAGUUGUUGAGAAAAAAGAAACAUUUUCAUACUUCACUUU
Benincasa hispida (wax gourd) is the source of this 108-nucleotide non-coding RNA. The record is from RefSeq and is a predicted model, not a curated record. Lineage: Eukaryota; Viridiplantae; Streptophyta; Magnoliopsida; Cucurbitales; Cucurbitaceae.